Molecule: ribosomal RNA, 1244 nt
Filed under: metagenome
Description: bacterial LSU rRNA
Rfam family: Bacterial large subunit ribosomal RNA
Source: RNAcentral
UGAAUACGAGACGCUAAGGCGUCGAAGUAGUGUAUGUCAUACUUCCAAGAAAAGCUUGCACUGUCAUAGAUAAAAAACGCCUGUACCAUAACCGACACAGGUGGGUAGGUAGAGUAUACUAAGGGGCGCGAGAUAACUCUCUCUAAGGAACUCGGCAAAAUAACUCCGUAACUUCGGGAGAAGGAGUGCCUUAUUCGUAAGGUUGCAAUAACAAGAUCCAAGCAACUGUUUAUCAAAAACACAGGUCUCCGCUAAGUCGUAAGACGAUGUAUGGGGGCUGACGCCUGCCCAGUGCCAGAAGGUUAAAGAAGUUGGUUAGCAAUUGCGAAGCUGAUAACUGAAGCCCUGGUGAACGGCGGCCGUAACUAUAACGGUCCUAAGGUAGCGAAAUUCCUUGUCGGGUAAGUUCCGACCCGCACGAAAGGCGUAAUGAUUUGGAUACUGUCUCGGAGAGGGGCUCGGUGAAAUAGACUUGUCUGUGAAGAUGCGGACUACCUGCACCAGGACAGAAAGACCCUAUGAAGCUUUACUGUAACUUGAAAUUGAAAUUGGACUUUAUUCGCGCAGUAUAGGUGGGAGGCGUUGAUUAUAAUCUUGUGGGAUUAUUGGAGCCAUCAGUGAGAUACCACUCUUGUAAUGUUAGAUUUCUAACUUUGAAUCAUUAUCUGGUCAAAGAACAGUUUCAGGCGGGCAGUUUGACUGGGGCGGCCGCCUCCUAAACGGUAACGGAGGCGUACAAAGGUUUCCUCUGAACGGUUAGAAAUCGUAUCUAGAGUGUAAAGGCAUAAGGAAGCUUGACUGUGAGACCUACAAGUCGAGCAGGGACGAAAGUCGGUCUUAGUGAUCUGACGGUACUGAGUGGAAAGGCCGUCACUCAACGGAUAAAAGUUACUCUAAGGAUAACAGGCUGAUCUCCCCCAAGAGUUCACAUCGACGGGGAGGUUUGGCACUUCGAUGUCGGCUCAUCGCAUCCUGGGGCGGUAGUACGUCCCAAGGGUUGGGCUGUUCGCCCAUGAAAGCGGUACGCGAGCUGGGUUCAGAACGUCGUGAGACAGUUCGGUCCAUAUCCGGUGUAGGCGUUAGAAUAUUGAGAGGAGCCUUCUUUAGUACGAGAGAACCGAGAAGGACAUACCUCUGGUGUACCAGUUAUCGUGCCAACGGUAAACGCUGGGUAGCUAUGUAUGGAGUGGAUAACCGCUGAAAGCAUCUAAGUGGGAAGCCCACCUCAAGAUAAGUAUUCUCAU